RNAcentral lists this transfer RNA (69 nucleotides) under Saproscincus basiliscus. RNAcentral describes it as "tRNA-His". Lineage: Eukaryota; Metazoa; Chordata; Lepidosauria; Squamata; Scincidae. The record is from RNAcentral.
GUCACUAUAAUUUAACCAAAAUACUAGAGUGUGAACCUAGAAACAGAAGCUAACAUCUUCUUAGUGACC